ACGGGAGGCAGCAGUGGGGAAUAUUGGGCAAUGGGCGCAAGCCUGACCCAGCAACGCCGCGUGAAGGAUGAAGGUCUUCGGAUUGUAAACUUCUUUGAUUGGGGAAGAAUAAAUGACCUACCCAAAGAACAAGUCACGGCUAACUACGUGCCAGCAGCCGCGGUAAUACGUAGGUGACAAGCGUUAUCCGGAUUUACUGGGUGUAAAGGGCGUGUAGGCGGUUCUGUAAGUCAGAAGUGAAAUUCCCGGGCUCAACCUGGGCGCUGCUUCUGAAACUACAGAACUUGAGUACUGGAGGGGAAAGCGGAAUUCCUAGUGUAGCGGUGAAAUGCGUAGAUAUUAGGAGGAACACCAGUGGCGAAGGCGGCUUACUGGACUGUAACUGACGUUGAGGCUCGAAAGCGUGGGGAGCAAACAGGAUUAGAUACCCUGGUA
The sequence is a ribosomal RNA, 435 nucleotides long. It matches the Rfam family "Bacterial small subunit ribosomal RNA", at positions 341 to 792 of the family's 1533-position model.